AGAAGCUCACCGUAAAGGAAACUAUGUUGCUGCCAUUUGACGUCAAAGCGCAUCGAUAACUGAUUCAGUAAUUGGCAACUACUCCUCUAUCAAUGUGUAUGCACAUGGAGACUUGGACUGUCAGAUAAGGGCAGAACGCCAACAACCAAGGCAAGAAGAAUGUGAAAAAGGAUUCAGUAUGUUCAAGAACCCCAAGCCUGACGUGCAUGAAGUUUGGUGUCGUGACUCGGAUUGGGGGACCUCCCUUGGGAG
Molecule: long non-coding RNA, 252 nt
Filed under: Homo sapiens (human)
Lineage: Eukaryota; Metazoa; Chordata; Mammalia; Primates; Hominidae
Description: non-protein coding lnc-ELOVL4-5:1
Source: RNAcentral